Molecule: ribosomal RNA, 433 nt
Filed under: uncultured bacterium
Lineage: Bacteria
Description: partial 16S ribosomal RNA
Rfam family: Bacterial small subunit ribosomal RNA
Source: RNAcentral
AACGAACGCUGGCGGCAUGCCUAACACAUGCAAGUCGAACGAGACCUUCGGGUCUAGUUGCGCACGGGUGCGUAACGCGUGGGAACCUGCCCUUAGGUUCGGAAUAACUCCCCGAAAGGGGUGCUAAUACCGGAUAAUGUCUUCGGACCAAAGAUUUAUCGCCUUUGGAUGGGCCCGCGUUGGAUUAGCUAGUUGGUAGGGUAAAAGCCUACCAUGGCGACGAUCCAUAGCUGGUCUGAGAGGAUGAUCAGCCACACUGGGACUGAGAAACGGCGCAGACUCCUACGGAAGGCAGCAGUGGGGAAUAUUCGACAAAGGGCGAAAGACUGAUACAGCUAUGCCGCGUGAGUGAUGAAGGCCUUAGGGUUGUAAAGCUCUUUUUACCGGGAUGAUAAUGACAGUACCGGGAGAAUCAGCCCCGGCUAACUCCGUG